Molecule: long non-coding RNA, 920 nt
Filed under: Monodelphis domestica (gray short-tailed opossum)
Lineage: Eukaryota; Metazoa; Chordata; Mammalia; Didelphimorphia; Didelphidae
Description: lncRNA (ENSMODG00000049314.1)
Source: RNAcentral
AAUGCCGGUCUCAUAACUUCUCCCUUGUCUUGGCUCCUCCCCACUGUGGCACCCCAAGGCAUGCUGGGAAUCUCCUGCCAGCCGUCAGCUCCUAGAAGGCUCACAGCAGUGCUUUUUGGACCUUUGUUGGUCUUGGCUCCUCCCCACAGUGGCAGUCUCAAGGGAUGCUGGGAAUCUCCUGUGGGCAGUCUCAGCUGCUGAAGGCUCACAGGUGUGCUUCUUGGAUCUUUGCUAGGAGUCAAUAACCUUCAAGGAUGUGGCUGUGGACUUCACCCAGGAGGAGUGGGGCCUGUUGGACCAUUCUCAGAAAGAGCUGUACCUGGAGGUCAUGCUGGAGAAUGUGCAGAAUGUACUCUCUCUGGGGCUUCCAGUUCCUAGAGAAAAUUUUAUCUCCUGUUUUCAGCUUGGGAAAACACCAUGGUUGCUAGAACAAAAAAGCCUACGGAGCUCCUGUCCAGAGACAGAGACUAAUUUUGAGGUGAAGGAGAUGUCUACAAAGCUGAGCCUCUUUGUGGAAGAAUCUGACCCCCAAAGAUGCAUGAAUGAGGGUUCUCGUGACUUCAUUUUGAGAAAAAUAUUUGACUCUAAUAUUAAGGUAAAUAAAAUUCCAAAGACGGAUCAUGAAUUUGAUGAAACUUCCAAGAAAUUUAGCCAAUAUUCAGUCUUAAACCAGUAUACAAGCUUGACCUCAGGAAAUGACAGUUGUCAGGAUAGUGAAUAUAGAAAAUGCAUUCCUGAAGAAGUAGGACUUGUUCAGUCACAUGAGAAACCCUCAUGAAAUACCCAUGUAUGAAGGUAACCCUAGAGGGAAUGGCCUGUGAUUGGAGUUCAGACCUCAUUAGACAUCCAAAAAGUCAACAUGUAGAGAUGGUUUCUAUGAGUGAUAAAGAGAGACCUUUCAAUCAGAACUCUGAUCUUCU